CGGGACGGGUGAGUAAUGUCUAGGGAAACUGCCGAUGGAGGGGGAUAACUACUGGAAACGGUAGCUAAUACCGCAUAACGUCGCAAGACCAAAGAGGGGGACCUUCGGGCCUCUUGCCAUCGGAUGUGCCCAGAUGGGAUUAGCUAGUAGGUGGGGUAACGGCUCACCUAGGCGACGAUCCCUAGCUGGUCUGAGAGGAUGACCAGCCACACUGGAACUGAGACACGGUCCAG
RNAcentral lists this ribosomal RNA (233 nucleotides) under uncultured bacterium. RNAcentral describes it as "partial 16S ribosomal RNA". It matches the Rfam family "Bacterial small subunit ribosomal RNA", at positions 100 to 334 of the family's 1533-position model. The record is from RNAcentral.